AUUGAACGCUGGCGGCAUGCCUUACACAUGCAAGUCGAACGGUAACGGGCCUUCGGGUGCCGACGAGUGGCGAACGGGUGAGUAAUGUAUCGGAACGUACCUUUCAGUGGGGGAUAACGUAGCGAAAGUUACGCUAAUACCGCAUAUUCUGUGAGCAGGAAAGCAGGGGAUCGCAAGACCUUGCGCUGAUUGAGCGGCCGAUAUCAGAUUAGCUAGUUGGUGAGGUAAAGGCUCACCAAGGUGACGAUCUGUAGCGGGUCUGAGAGGAUGAUCCGCCACACUGGAACUGAGACACGGUCCAGACUCCUACGGGAGGCAGCAGUGGGGAAUUUUGGACAAUGGGGGCAACCCUGAUCCAGCCAUGCCGCGUGAGUGAAGAAGGCCUUCGGGUUGUAAAGCUCUUUCGGCCGGGAAGAAAUCGUAUGGGUUAAUACCCUGUGCGGAUGACGGUACCGGCAUAAGAAGCACCGGCUAACUACGUG
Molecule: ribosomal RNA, 482 nt
Filed under: uncultured bacterium
Lineage: Bacteria
Description: bacterial SSU rRNA
Rfam family: Bacterial small subunit ribosomal RNA
Source: RNAcentral